UACGUAGGGUGCGAGCGUUGUCCGGAAUUAUUGGGCGUAAAGAGCUCGUAGGCGGCUUGGCAAGUCGGGUGUGAAAACUUCAGGCUCAACCUGGAGCGGCCACUCGAUACUGCCAUGGCUUGAGUCCGGUAGGGGACCACGGAAUUCCUGGUGUAGCGGUGAAAUGCGCAGAUAUCAGGAGGAACACCAGUGGCGAAGGCGGUGGUCUGGGCCGGAACUGACGCUGAGGAGCGAAAGCGUGGGUAGCAAACAGG
RNAcentral lists this ribosomal RNA (254 nucleotides) under uncultured bacterium. RNAcentral describes it as "partial 16S ribosomal RNA". It matches the Rfam family "Bacterial small subunit ribosomal RNA", at positions 524 to 776 of the family's 1533-position model. The record is from RNAcentral.